GUGCUUACUUUGGUAGCACAAAUACUAAAACUGCAAUAAUUCAGAAAAGGUUAGUUUGGUCCCUGUGCAAAGAUAACAUGAACAAUUCAGCAAAUGCAUUGGUCUUU
Molecule: small nuclear RNA, 107 nt
Organism: Aotus nancymaae (Ma's night monkey)
Lineage: Eukaryota; Metazoa; Chordata; Mammalia; Primates; Aotidae
Source: Ensembl